This 616-nucleotide ribosomal RNA is filed under the name Escherichia coli. RNAcentral's name for it is "partial 23S ribosomal RNA". It matches the Rfam family "Bacterial large subunit ribosomal RNA", at positions 1273 to 1874 of the family's 2925-position model. The record is from RNAcentral. Lineage: Bacteria; Pseudomonadati; Pseudomonadota; Gammaproteobacteria; Enterobacterales; Enterobacteriaceae.
CUGGAGGUAUCAGAAGUGCGAAUGCUGACAUAAGUAACGAUAAAGCGGGUGAAAAGCCCGCUCGCCGGAAGACCAAGGGUUCCUGUCCAACGUUAAUCGGGGCAGGGUGAGUCGACCCCUAAGGCGAGGCCGAAAGGCGUAGUCGAUGGGAAACAGGUUAAUAUUCCUGUACUUGGUGUUACUGCGAAGGGGGGACGGAGAAGGCUAUGUUGGCCGGGCGACGGUUGUCCCGGUUUAAGCGUGUAGGCUGGUUUUCCAGGCAAAUCCGGAAAAUCAAGGCUGAGGCGUGAUGACGAGGCACUACGGUGCUGAAGCAACAAAUGCCCUGCUUCCAGGAAAAGCCUCUAAGCAUCAGGUAACAUCAAAUCGUACCCCAAACCGACACAGGUGGUCAGGUAGAGAAUACCAAGGCGCUUGAGAGAACUCGGGUGAAGGAACUAGGCAAAAUGGUGCCGUAACUUCGGGAGAAGGCACGCUGAUAUGUAGGUGAAGUCCCUCGCGGAUGGAGCUGAAAUCAGUCGAAGAUACCAGCUGGCUGCAACUGUUUAUUAAAAACACAGCACUGUGCAAACACGAAAGUGGACGUAUACGGUGUGACGCCUGCCCGGUGCCGGAA